GGAGCCGUCCUUUUAGAGAUACCGGGAGAAAAAACCGGAGAAGAUAGGAGGCAGACGGCUCCACUGACGGCGGUUCUCGUCUCAAACACAGCCCGUCCGCGGAGCCCCACCAGCUGGGGGCAAGCACGCGGGCACCGGUCCGCUGUGGGCCCGAGCACGUCCCCCGGGGCGGUUGGUAGCUCACACCCGGGGCCCGGCGGCGGCGGCGGCGGCGGCGGCGGCGGCGGCGACGCCUCCUCCGCCGCCACCUCCCCGCCCCACGUUCCCAUCUGCUCGCCGCCGGGGGCGCCCACGCCCGGCCGCCCGCCCGCUCUCCCCAGCCUGUCCCCCGGCGCCUUUGCCGCCCGUCCAGUCAGCCGCCGCGCUCCUCGGCCCUCGGCCCUCGCCCCGGGCCCCGCCAUUACCGCUCCUCCAGUCAGCCGCCGCGCUCCGCCGCGCUCCUCGCACCUAGCCCUGCGCCCCGCCGGCCGCCGCCGCCCUCCUCGCGCCCCGCCCGCCACGCUUCAGCCCCCUCUUCCCCGCCCCUGCAGCCCGUCCGCACCAAUCAGCGCCGGGCUCGCCCGGCGGCCAAUCGCUGGCCCGCCGCGACCAAUCCUUCCGCGGGCUGCCCCUGAGCGACUGGGCUGCGGCGCGCUGGCAGCCAAUUGCCCGGACGCGCCGGCCCGGGCGUUAGCCAGUCGGAGCCCGGGAAGGCAGCCGCUGUUCCCCCGGCUGCACCUGCUGAGAAUUAAGCAGCCAGUUAGAGGCUCCACGGAGCGCUGUCAGCCCACCUCGGGGCCAAUUACCUGGGAAGUUGGCACCUCCCCGUCGGGGAAAGUCCGCGCCCCGGGCGGGGACCGAGGUGCGAGGGCGUGGGAUCACGCGUGCGUGUCGCCGCUGGUGGGCCUCGAGUGCCGUAGUGCACCGCCACCCCUCGCCACCGGCACCCAGGUACCUCGCGGAGAGCGGCCCCUCGACGGGCGGCGCCCCGCCACUUGCCUCCUCGGUGCUCUCCUGCCGGGAUCCGUCCUGAUCCGUGGCAGGCCCUGGGGACGCACGGAAGGGCCAGCGCGGGCUUGGAGGGCGCGGAGCGGGGGAGGGGGGGCUGCGCGCGGGAGCCGGCGCGCGGUGCGGGCGGGGCGCUGGGGCGCCCGCGGCGAGGGGACUUGGGGCUGUGCGGGCGUCGGUCAGGGGCGCGCCCUCCCCGGGACGGAGGGGACCGGCGCGACGGCACAGCCGGGGCCAUUUCUGCGGAGGGCGGUAGAGGGUGGGCCGUGCCAGGCGGCGGUCCCCUUCGGAGGAGGGCAUUGCGGCCGCCGCCCAGGACCCGGGACUGGGACGGCCAAGGACGGUUGGGCCUGUGACCGCCUCCGGGCGGCGGGAGCCUCCUCCCGAGCCAGAGCCCCUCCGCGGGCUCCCGGUAGCCGGGAGCUCUUUGCAGCGGUUCUGUCGCUGUGCCCGGCACACGGUGAGCUCUCCGUGGAUGCUGAAGGGACGCCAGAUUGCAUCUCUGGUCAACCAGGGCGAUCGAUGCCUUUGGGCCUCAGGGUUUCGAUUUGUAUUAAUUUUUUAAAUGUGCAUUUUGAAUAA
This 1569-nucleotide long non-coding RNA is filed under the name Vulpes vulpes (red fox). RNAcentral describes it as "lncRNA (ENSVVUG00000013593.1)". Lineage: Eukaryota; Metazoa; Chordata; Mammalia; Carnivora; Canidae. The record is from RNAcentral.